UCUUACAAAAUUAAUCAGAAUUUUUUAUUUUUUAAAUCUAAGAAACGUUCCAAUAUUAUAAAAAUCGGAACAUUUAUCAGAAAUCUUGAAAAUAAAUUUUUUAAUUCCGUUUAAGAUAUCUACUUGGAGAAGUCCUAAUGAAUACUUUAAGGAGUUCUGAGGAAUUCCAACAAGUAAUUCUAUAUGAAUACUUUAAGAAGUUCUGAGGAAUUCUAACAAGUAAUUCUAUAUGAAUACUUUAAAAAGUCCUGAAGAAUUCGAAUCAUGGUGCAUGUAACUUCCUACGUUAUUCUUAAAAUAUUCUUCUAUGAAUUCCUCAGGAAUUACUGUUCAGAAAGGAAGACUUCUUUAUGAAUUCUUUAAGAAGACAUUGUGUUAUCUGGGAAGGAAAGGACUGCAGAAAGAAGAUCAAGAAUGGGAGAAGAUGACGAAGCAAAAUGCAUACACAAGAGAAAAAGGUGGAAAAGGUAAAUGGAGAUCCUGAGUAACGAGGCAACAGAAUUUUGGAAGAAUAUUAUAGAAGAUGAUCCAGAAAGCAAUAAUAUAGAUAGGCGUAGAGAAAAGCAAAGAGACGGAUCAUAAGAUCUGGUAAAGUAAAAUAAAGACUGUACAAAUGAAAAGAGGAAAAUGUAAAGGAUUUUAAAGAGGUGAAAAAAAACAGUCACGAGAGAGGACCAAUUGAAGAAGAAAAGUAAACUAAAGAGCUUUCUGAAUCAGAAGCAAGACAAAGGAAAUGAAGAAAAGAGAGGAAAUAGAUUUUGAAGUUUGAAGUUUGUAAAGGCAAUGAAAUUGGAAAUACACAACCAAGAACAGAGAAGAAAAAGAGUGAAUAAGAAACAACAUAAGCAAGGAAGAAGGAAAUUCCACUUGGUGAAACUAUUGGAUGGAACAGAGUUGUAGGAGAGAGAAGAGACAAGAGGAAAUAUCAAAGUAAAGCAGUAAGGGACAGUAUUUAUUGUGAUACUGUGCAGAGAGGGAGAAAGAAGUAGAAGAUUUUUCACCCUCUUUAUGGAUGGAUUGGAAAGCAGCUCAUGAUAACAUUAAAAGUCCAGAGGAAUUAGGAACUGUGAAGCCAGAAGAAGGGAAGAUUGAAAGAAGGUACAACACGAGGGCGACAGUAAGGACAGAAGGAUUAGCAUAAGUGUGCAGUACAACGAUGGGAGCAAGACGGGGCUGUGAAAUGGAUUCUUUGGUUUUCAGAUAAUAAAAUCAGAUAGAUAUAUAUGGAAUAGAAUAGGAGAUGUAGAAUUAGGUUAAGAGAGAAUAUAAUCACGAGAGAGAGGAAGUGCAGAGGAACUAGUAUAGGGAAAGGCCUAAAUAGAAAGAUUAGACGAAUAUAGUUAUAAGUAGUAAGAAGAUUGUAAACAGAGAAAAGAUGGAAUGAUAAGUGAAAAAAGAAUGAUGAGAUUUGAUUAGUUUUUAUUAUAGGCAGGAUUUUUGCGAUUAGAACGGUAUAAUAGGAUAUGAUAUGAUAUGUUGUGAUAAACAUGUUAGGAAAGAAAUGAAUAAGGGCAACUAAGGUAUGGAAUCUAGGAAUUAUAGAAAUAAUUUUUAGUAGAAGGCAAAAAGAAUGUUUAGGGGAAAAAAGGAGGUAGAAAAAAAGAUUUUUGUAAAGAUUAGUAAAUAAAGCAAUGGAGAUUAGUUAUAAGGGUGUAUAGUUAUAGGUUGAAAGAUAAGACUAAAUAAAGUGAUGAUAGGAAGAUAAUGCGAGAAAAAUGUUUAGAUAGAAUCAUACUGUAUUUUAUGUAGGAUUCUCUUUUUGGCCAUAAGAUGUUGAAGAGAAAAAAGUUUAUUAUUGUAAGAAAAUUCGUCCGAUAGAGAAAAUGUAGGAUUAUAGCAAAGUAAUAAAGGUGCCUUUUCACGCUGACGCUUUUUUUCAGCGUCAAAAGACAUCACCGUAAAAAGGCUCCUAUAAGAUUUGAUAUGCAUGAUAUAAAUAAAGCCAUGCGAUGUAUUGGUUAGGAUAGAUGGAUAGUUAAACGGAUGGAUGGAGGUAUGUGUGUGAUAAAAAAUUUGUAAGGUAGGGAUGGAUCCUUGGAUAAGUCCUUGAUUAUAAACAAAGUCCCUUCUUGGCAUUGUAUAUGCUUGAAGUAAAUUAAUUCUAAGUUCAUAUAUUCAUAUUCUUUUCUACAUAAAAACUGCUAAAGAUGAAUUCGUCAAAAUCGGGAGUUAUAUUUGCAUGAUUCUGUCUCUUAUGCAAUCCUAAUGGAAUAACAUUGAGUCUGUAAGACUACAUAAUACAUAAUAAGAUGUAUAGUAACAUUAAUACUUCGAUCGUAUACAAAUUCCAAAUUAGACGCCCAUUUCGUCCGAUACCAUUUUCGACAUGUGUCACAAAAACAUAAAUUAUUUAAAAAAUACGAAACAGUAUUAUAAAAAUUACUAUACCAUUUAAUAGAAGAUACCUUUUAAUUUGUAUUCAUGUUCUCAACAUUGUUUUUCUAACUAUUAUUUAAGAAAUUUUGUCCAAUAACAAAGUAGUGUUCCAAAUUCGGUGUCUUUCCCCUAUUACAAUAAAUUUUUAAAAAUAUAUAUCUUAUUUAUGAAACUUUUCAUGAUUAUAACUUUUUAACGCAUCACGAGCGACGGCUAAAACGUUUUGAAAGUUACUCGAAAGGGUGAUCUUGACAACAAGGACAAAGUUAUUGGCGGGAAGAUUCAUAAAAAUAAAUAUUUACUAUUCAAAUACACAGUAUAAGUACACUUAUACUGUGUCAAAAGUGUCAUCUUUGAUCUUAUAUUAUCAUUUUCGUUGUAUACAUGUGCUGCACAGACGGGCAAAUACAUUCUAUUUAUAUACAUAUACGUGUAGACAUAAAAAUACGUGUAUCUAUAAAAAGAAUACAUUUUUCUAUGUGUAUCAUAAACUCAUUGUGCUAAAGGGGAUAUUCUUGUUUCUUAAAUUUAAAAUUAUUUCUUUGACAUUUUCACAGCUUGUGAAUCUUGAGUAAAUGAGAGUAAGCGAGUAAGUAAGGAAGUGAACAAGCGUGCAUGCGUGCAUGUGUUGUGUGCAUGUUUAAAGAAAAAAAAAGAUUAUAGGUGGAGAUUUGCAAGAUUUUAUUAACGUAUAAAGUGUAAAAUUUUUAACGCGUCUUUUUUCAAAAUAACUUUAUUAAUUGUUGCUACAAUUACAUCUAGUUUCAAUCCAAUUGAUUUAAAUAUUAUAUAUUCGAAGAUAUUUACAACAUAUUUCUCUCUCAUCUAAUCUAUAAAAUAAAAA
This is a long non-coding RNA of Monomorium pharaonis (pharaoh ant), 3220 nucleotides long. RefSeq lists it as uncharacterized. The record is from RefSeq and is a predicted model, not a curated record. NCBI's taxonomy places the organism in Eukaryota, Metazoa, Arthropoda, Insecta, Hymenoptera, Formicidae. The transcript is spliced from 2 exons.